This 61-nucleotide transfer RNA is filed under the name Urostylis sp. HL-2012. RNAcentral's name for it is "tRNA-Val". Lineage: Eukaryota; Metazoa; Arthropoda; Insecta; Hemiptera; Urostylididae. The record is from RNAcentral.
CUAAUUGUGUUAUAGAACUUUUGUUAUUUACAUUAACAUAAUAUUUGUGCGAUUCAAAUCA